AUUUUCUCAUUUCCUCCACCUUAAUCCUUCCCCUCUCUCUCCCCUUUUAAUUUCCCGUUGAAGAUUUGGUUUAUGUAGUGCGAUUUAAGGAAAGAGGAGAACGAUUCCUUCUCUGUCUUCUUCAAGUAAAGGUGGUUUGAAAACAUAUUGAGUUGGUGACAAAUCCGACGGCAAAUUUGUCGGUAGGUUAUGCUAUCAAUUACUGAGGAAAGAUUGUUUGAAAAUUAGGAUUUAUAAGAAUUUAUCAUUUUUCACAAUUAGGGUUUAUAAAAUUUACUAUGGAAGUAUAAUUUUUCUGGUUUUAACAAAUUGCAACGGAUUUUAAAAGUUUCUUUUGGUUUCACAGAUCGUACGUGUAGAUCUGGUGCCAUAGAUUUGCACGUCGCGGUGGUUAAUCUGCAUUUGCACUGUAUGAUUUGGAUUCUACGGUGGUUCUGAGUUGUGUCGUCGAUGGCGGUGAUGAUUUUUCAUGGAAAGUGAUGCAGUUUCAGAUGAUUCACUACAUGGUAAUACUUGCAUACAACCUUGGAGGAAUAAUAUUUCGAAGAGAGCUAAAUCUAUUAACAGUGAUAUGGUUUCACAUGAUAUAAUGGAUUAUGAUUCUGAUUUUCCAUAGAAGGAAGAGCUUAGUCACACACAAUAUGAUAUAUCAAAGGAUUCGUUAGGUGUCGGUUCUCUUCAGCGGCAUAGGAAGACUUCUAAAAGCAAGUAUGACCGAUACACAUGUUUAGUUUAAUUGAUUAUUACAUGCCUUUACAAAUUAGCAUCUGGUUUUAGGAACUUUUUUUGGGAGAACUGAUAGCACCUGGAUGGACGCAUGUUUCUCAAUGAUUUCAUCUAUUUUCCUCAUCACAGUCUUGCUUACCCGUGCUCGAAUACAGGUUUGGAUAACUAUUUUGUUGAAUAAAAAGUUGUUUAAUUUUACAUCUUUCAAUAUUCUAUUUUUUAUUUUGUUAAGUAUUUUUCACUCUCUGAAGAUCCAAUAUACCAAAUAGAACUUAAUAUUGAAAGCAGUGUUUGAAUCUUGAUGGAAAAAGUCAUGUGACUAUCUAAACAUUCUUACUUGAGUUUUUGCAUUGUCCUAAUAACCUAUCUUAUGCUUCUGGUAGAUAUUUGCAAAUCCAAUGUAUGAAUAUUUGGAUACCAAACAUGGAAUCAAAGGCAAGUGAUGGGUUUGCACCAGGUUAUAACUCUCUGUAUGGAGCAUUGUCAUUCUGCAUAAUUAUCGGAUGAAAGUGAUAGGUACAAAACUUUUGUUUUAUCGGGAGGAACUGAAUGUUAGUCAGGUUUAGCAGGUAAACUUUCAAAUAAUUUUUUCAUAUAAGAAAUUAUUACACUCUCACUAUUAUUGUACCAGUAGAGAAACCUAAAUGAAUCAAUCCAAACACGCCCUUACAUGUAAACUCCCAUAGGCUAUAAGCUAUUCAAACUUGGCCUAAUUCUACUAUUUUCGGGACCAUUGUUAUGCAUAAAAAGAUUAGAGAAAGAACUGCAUAGCUUACUUCCUCCAUACGUGUCAAAUGGAAUUAGAGUCACACCUCCUCCAUACGGCGUCGAUACUACAUAGUUCAAAGCAAAUAUGAUUGGCAAUGUAAGUUCCAUGUCACCUUGAUGAUAAAUAUUCAAGGUUCUGUUUUUCUAAACAACUUAUAUU
Long non-coding RNA from Vicia villosa (hairy vetch), 1654 nucleotides. RefSeq lists it as uncharacterized. The transcript has 3 exons. The record is from RefSeq and is a predicted model, not a curated record. NCBI's taxonomy places the organism in Eukaryota, Viridiplantae, Streptophyta, Magnoliopsida, Fabales, Fabaceae.